AACGAACGCUGGCGGCAUGCCUAACACAUGCAAGUCGAACGAGACCUUCGGGUCUUGUGGCGCACGGGUGCGUCACGCGUGGGAACCUUCCCUUAGGUUCGGACUAACUCCCCGAAAGGGGUGCUAAUACCGGAUAAUGUCUUCGGACCAAGGAUUUAUCGCCUUUGGAUGGGCCCGCGUUGGAUUAGCUAGUUGGUAGGGUAAAAGCCUACCAAGGCGACGUUCCAUAGCUGGUCUGAGAGGAUGAGCAGCCACACUGGGACUGAGACACGGCCCAGACUCCUACGGGAGGCAGCAGUGGGGAAUAUUGGACAAUGGGCGAAAGCCUGAUCCAGCAAUGCCGCGUGAGUGAUGAAGGCCUUAGGGUUGUAAAGCUCUUUUACCCGGGAUGAUAAUGACAGUACCGGGAGAAUAAGCUCCGGCUAACUCCGUG
RNAcentral lists this ribosomal RNA (433 nucleotides) under uncultured bacterium. Its description in RNAcentral is "partial 16S ribosomal RNA". It matches the Rfam family "Bacterial small subunit ribosomal RNA", at positions 29 to 507 of the family's 1533-position model. The record is from RNAcentral.